UGGGGAAUAUUGGACAAUGGGCGAAAGCCUGAUCCAGCCAUGCCGCGUGUGUGAAGAAGGUCUUCGGAUUGUAAAGCACUUUAAGUUGGGAGGAAGGGCAGUAAGUUAAUACCUUGCUGUUUUGACGUUACCGACAGAAUAAGCACCGGCUAACUCUGUGCCAGCAGCCGCGGUAAUACAGAGGGUGCAAGCGUUAAUCGGAAUUACUGGGCGUAAAGCGCGCGUAGGUGGUUUGUUAAGUUGGAUGUGAAAGCCCCGGGCUCAACCUGGGAACUGCAUCCAAAACUGGCAAGCUAGAGUACGGUAGAGGGUGGUGGAAUUUCCUGUGUAGCGGUGAAAUGCGUAGAUAUAGGAAGGAACACCAGUGGCGAAGGCGACCACCUGGACUGAUACUGACACUGAGGUGCGAAAGCGUGGGGAGCAAACAGGAUUAGAUACCCCGGUAGUCCCUGAGCGGGCUGGCAAGGCGCAU
Molecule: ribosomal RNA, 472 nt
Filed under: uncultured bacterium
Lineage: Bacteria
Description: bacterial SSU rRNA
Rfam family: Bacterial small subunit ribosomal RNA
Source: RNAcentral